RNAcentral lists this ribosomal RNA (687 nucleotides) under Triticum aestivum (bread wheat). RNAcentral describes it as "partial small subunit ribosomal RNA". Lineage: Eukaryota; Viridiplantae; Streptophyta; Magnoliopsida; Poales; Poaceae. The record is from RNAcentral.
AUGGUAUCAUGGGGAGACGGUGAGGAAUCGUCUGAGGACCACAGCAAUGCUACUAGCGAGGGCUUAAAGACACUUUACGACUUAGAUUGGGAAGGGUUAGCUGAUGGAGCAGCACCUCCACGUUGUAAAUGUGGAGCCAUUGCCGCAAAGUUUGUUGAUUGGGAAGGAUAUGAGACAGGAAGGAAAUUUUUGGGAUGUGCAGGGCAGUUUGGGGAAAGAUGUGAUUAUGUUAAAUGGGUAGAUGGAGAUUGGCCAUCAUCACUGCAGAAAGCUAUUGGAAAAUUAUGGGAGAUGUAUGGAGAAGCCAAACAAGGAAGAGUUAGUGAUGCUCUGUACUGUAUGGAGGAAAAGUUCAAGUUUAGGGAUGAAAUAACCAAGCCCCACCAUGAUCUGAAGAUUGUCCAAGAAGAAGCGAACAAGACUGUGAAUGAGAAGCAGAUCACACUUGCUCUGAAGGCAAAGGCUGAACAAGCACUCAUUGAUGCAAGGGCAGAACUGGAGGAGAAGAAAAAGCUGGAUGUUGCAGCUAGUAACAUGCAUAAGGUGUUGAGGAUCAAGGCAGAGAAGGACAGGGAUAAAAUCAAGGAAGAGAAGAGAAAAUUGGAGUUAAUGAUUGCAGAUUUGGUCAAGCAGAAAGAAGGUACCAGGGCAAAGCUGAGGAAGAUUAAAGAAUUAUGUGAUGAGUAG